RNAcentral lists this ribosomal RNA (447 nucleotides) under uncultured bacterium. RNAcentral's name for it is "bacterial SSU rRNA". It matches the Rfam family "Bacterial small subunit ribosomal RNA", at positions 331 to 792 of the family's 1533-position model. The record is from RNAcentral.
CCAGACUCCUACGGGAGGCAGCAGUGGGGAAUAUUGCACAAUGGGCGAAAGCCUGAUGCAGCAACGCCGCGUGAAGGAAGAAGGGUUUCGGCUCGUAAACUUCUAUCAACAGGGACGAAAGAAAUGACGGUACCUGAAUAAGAAGCCCCGGCUAACUACGUGCCAGCAGCCGCGGUAAUACGUAGGGGGCAAGCGUUAUCCGGAUUUACUGGGUGUAAAGGGAGCGUAGGCGGCGAUGCAAGCCAGAUGUGAAAGCCCGGGGCUCAACCCCGGGACUGCAUUUGGAACUGUGUGGCUGGAGUGUCGGAGAGGCAGGCGGAAUUCCUAGUGUAGCGGUGAAAUGCGUAGAUAUUAGGAGGAACACCAGUGGCGAAGGCGGCCUGCUGGACGAUGACUGACGUUGAGGCUCGAAAGCGUGGGGAGCAAACAGGAUUAGAUACCCGAGUA